This 227-nucleotide ribosomal RNA is filed under the name uncultured bacterium. Its description in RNAcentral is "partial 16S ribosomal RNA". It matches the Rfam family "Bacterial small subunit ribosomal RNA", at positions 1276 to 1500 of the family's 1533-position model. The record is from RNAcentral.
GAAAACCGGUACUCAGUUCGGAUCGCAGUCUGCAACUCGACUGCGUGAAGGUGGAGUCGCUAGUAAUCGCGGAUCAGCAACGCCGCGGUGAAUGCGUUCCCGGGCCUUGUACACACCGCCCGUCAAGUCAUGAAAGUGGGCAGCACCCGAAGACGGUGGCCUAACCCUUGUGGGGGGAGCCGUCUAAGGUGAGGCUCGUGAUUGGGACUAAGUCGUAACAAGGUAUC